CGAACGCUGGCGGCGUGCUUAACACAUGCAAGUCGCACGGAAAGGCCCUGCUUGCAGGGUACUCGAGUGGCGAACGGGUGAGUAACACGUGGGUGAUCUGCCCUGCACUUCGGGAUAAGCCUGGGAAACUGGGUCUAAUACCGGAUAGGAGCCAUUUUUAGUGUGAUGGUUGGAAAGUUUUUUCGGUGUAGGAUGAGCUCGCGGCCUAUCAGCUUGUUGGUGGGGUAAUGGCCUACCAAGGCGGCGACGGGUAGCCGGCCUGAGAGGGUGGACGGCCACAUUGGGACUGAGAUACGGCCCAGACUCCUACGGGAGGCAGCAGUGGGGAAUAUUGCACAAUGGGCGCAAGCCUGAUGCAGCGACGCCGCGGGGGGGAGGACGGCCUUCGGGUUGUAAACGCCUUUCGCUAGGGACGAAGCUUUUUGUGACGGUACCUAGAGAAGAAGCACCGGCUAACUACGUG
Molecule: ribosomal RNA, 463 nt
Filed under: uncultured bacterium
Lineage: Bacteria
Description: partial 16S ribosomal RNA
Rfam family: Bacterial small subunit ribosomal RNA
Source: RNAcentral